Molecule: ribosomal RNA, 255 nt
Filed under: uncultured bacterium
Lineage: Bacteria
Description: partial 16S ribosomal RNA
Rfam family: Bacterial small subunit ribosomal RNA
Source: RNAcentral
UACGUAGGGUGCGAGCGUUGUCCGGAAUUACUGGGCGUAAAGAGCUCGUAGGUGGUUUGUCGCGUCGUUUGUGUAAGUCCACGGCUUAACUGUGGGAUGGCAGGCGAUACGGGCAUAACUUGAGUGCUGUAGGGGAGACUGGAAUUCCUGGUGUAGCGGUGAAAUGCGCAGAUAUCAGGAGGAACACCGAUGGCGAAGGCAGGUCUCUGGGCAGUAACUGACGCUGAGGAGCGAAAGCAUGGGUAGCGAACAGGG